Colius striatus (speckled mousebird) is the source of this 5847-nucleotide long non-coding RNA. RefSeq lists it as uncharacterized. NCBI's taxonomy places the organism in Eukaryota, Metazoa, Chordata, Aves, Coliiformes, Coliidae. The record is from RefSeq and is a predicted model, not a curated record. The transcript has 9 exons.
CCUCCGCCCGCUGCGGUCCCCAACGGCAUCGGCUCGUGCGAGCUCCGGCGGCUGAAGAGCCGACGCCGGCGGGUCCUGGGGGGCUGCGGAGAGCCCGGCGUCCGCCCCGCGGGAGAGGGGUCCAUCUUUCCCGUUUCCAGCCUGGAUAUUGAAGAGAGCCCAGGGCGUUCAGGAGCUGCUGCUUUCCUCGUCUGCCAUGCGGCCAGCCCGCUGGAGUGCUGCCUCCUGCACCAAGAGCCCUUCUCCGGGAUGAGACCCGUGUGGCAGCUGCCGGGGAACCGGCCGUCUGGCUGAGCAGCUGCCGUCGUCCUGUGCCCCAGGAGAAGCGGCCGCAGUGACUGUCUGCUGGGAGAGCCCUGAAGAACCCUGGGCAGCCAAUGCCUGGAUAUUGAAGACAGCCCAGGGCGUUCAGGAGCUGCUGCUUUCCUCCUCUGCCGAGUGGCCAGCCCGCUGGAGUGCUGCCUCCUGCACCAAGAGCCCUUCUCCGGGAUGAGACCCGUGUGGCAGCUGCCGGGGAAGCGGCCGUCUGGCUGAGCAGCCGCCGUCGUCCUGUGCCCCAGGAGAAGCGGCCGCAGUGACUGUCUGCUGGGAGAGCCCUGAAGAACCCUGGGCAGCCAAUGGCCUUUCCUUCCUGUAUGUCUGCUUUUGCCCAUCAGCCGGGCUUUUGUUCGCCCUUGUCUGGGGGCGAGCGGUGGCAGAGCCAGUCCCCGGCAGCACAGAGCACGGAGGAGGGAAAGGCGCUGCGGGACGCGGCAUGAGCGGCGGCAGCUUCCUGAGCCUCGGCGCUUCUCUGCAGGAGCCCCCUGUGCCCGGCUCCGAGGGACGGGCGGCCCCUGAGCUCAGCGACGGCGCAGCAGCAGGGUCCAUCUUUCCCGUUUCCAGCCUGGAUAUUGAAGACAGCCCAGGGCGUUCAGGAGCUGCUGCUUUCCUCCUCUGCCGUGUGGCCAGCCCGCUGGAGUGCUGCCUCCUGCACCAAGAGCCCUUCUCCGGGAUGAGACCCGUGUGGCAGCUGCCGGGGAAGCGGCCGUCUGGCUGAGCAGCCGCCGUCGUCCUGUGCCCCAGGAGAAGCGGCCGCAGUGACUGUCUGCUGGGAGAGCCCUGAAGAACCCUGGGCAGCCAAUGGCCUUUCCUUCCUGUAUGUCUGCUUUUGCCCAUCACCCGGGCUUUUGUCCGCCCUUGUCUGGGGGCGAGCGGUGGCAGAGCCAGUCCCCGGCAGCACAGAGCACGGAGGAGGGAAAGGCGCUGCGGGACGCGGCAUGAGCGGCGGCAGCUUCCUGAGCCUCGGCGCUUCUCUGCAGGAGCCCCCUGUGCCCGGCUCCGAGGGACGGGCGGCCCCUGAGCUCAGCGACGGCGCAGCAGCAGGGUCCAUCUUUCCCGUUUCCAGCCUGGAUAUUGAAGAGAGCCCAGGGCGUUCAGGAGCUGCUGCUUUCCUCCUCUGCCGAGUGGCCAGCCCGCUGGAGUGCUGCCUCCUGCACCAAGAGCCCUUCUCCGGGAUGAGACCCGUGUGGCAGCUGCCGGGGAAGCGGCCGUCUGGCUGAGCAGCCGCCGUCGUCCUGUGCCCCAGGAGAAGCGGCCGCAGUGACUGUCUGCUGGGAGAGCCCUGAAGAACCCUGGGCAGCCAAUGCCUGGAUAUUGAAGAGAGCCCAGGGCGUUCAGGAGCUGCUGCUUUCCUCCUCUGCCAUGCGGCCAGCCCGCUGGAGUGCUGCCUCCUGCACCAAGAGCCCUUCUCCGGGAUGAGACCCGUGUGGCAGCUGCCGGGGAACCGGCCAUCUGGCUGAGCAGCUGCCGUCGUCCUGUGCCCCAGGAGAAGCGGCCGCAGUGACUGUCUGCUGGGAGAGCCCUGAAGAACCCUGGGCAGCCAAUGAUCAAGGUCCCCGGUGGAUUCGGGCAAAAUGGAUCAAGCCACAUCAAGCCAAAGGACUUAAUGACUGUAAGAGCAACGGAAAAACAAUCUUGAGGAAAGAACCAAUUGAUCCACCCUCAAUCCAUCACCCUGUUAAAAUGUAAACCCUCUCAACUGUGCCACUGCAUAUGCUGCUGUAAAUUCCUCCAGCUACCUGUAUCAUAUUAAAAGAACUGAAGAACUUAACAAGACGGCCAAUGGAAACUUGAAAGCAAAACUGGUGUGUUUUCUACAGAUGAAGAGAUAUUUCCUGCUCACAGAUCAGCAUGCGAAAGAAGUGGAAGAAAAGUCCAAAACUACAUUCAGAAAACAAACCUCAGUGGAAGCACAGAGAACUCAUCCCUUCUCACCAGUGUGCGUCGCUCCUAGCAACACACAUCAGAUUACGUUCAUUUUGAGUUCAUGGAUUUCUGUGCUGCAUUGUUCAGUCAGGUAGCUGUUAUUGACCUUUCGUUGUAAACUCAUGGCCAUGGGUAAAAAUAGUUCUGUUUUCUUCAUGUACCUUUAAUUUUGAAAUGUGUUGCUGAAGGCUGGCUGGUCCAAAAAGAAAAAGGGGGGAAUUGAAAGCACAAAUGUGGCUUGGACCAGCCAGCCUGAAUAAAGAUGGUAGGGACAAGUUAAUGCAGCUGGCAAGCUACUUCCACUUAUCAGAAACAGAUGCUGCAAGGUACUCAGUUGGGCCCUGGGUGAUCACAGGGGCAGAAGCAGCAUAGAAGGAAGUAGCUAGCAAAGGAAGGGUGGCUUUGAGUCAACCCUGUUGGUUGUACCACUUUGCCCGUGUACGGCUCUGCACGUGCAUUACCUAGAUUCUCUACAUCUUUGACUGAAUAUAGCUUGCACUGCUCCAACAGUGGCAGAUUGCGCUGUUGGUAUUGAUCCUCAGGAGGGAGGGGAACCAGUAGAGAUUAAAGCUUCAGGCUAUUCUGCUCUCUCCCCUCCUCCAAGGUCCAACAUCCACUGCCUUAUUUGGUUGUUUGCUCGGGGCUCAGAGACCCCUCUUUGCGUGUGGUUUCAUUGGUCUUUUGUACUAUUUGUCCUACUCAUUGAGUUACAGAUUGUCUCAUGAGGUACCAAACCAAAUCUUUAUUAAAACUACAAACAGUCUGUAACAAACUACAGGGAUGAAAGAGCAGAGAACCAGGGGCUCCUCAACAGUCAGGAAAAAGCAUCAACAAGGGAGUGAAACCUGGAAGAGAAACAAACAUGCAGAGAAAGCCCCAGCAGUGGUGAGGUGAGGUCUGGCCCAGAUGAGCACAGACGGUCUCCUGCGGGGCUGUGGGUCAGGUCACUCACCUGAUUGCUGUGCUUGGAUUUCUACUCCUAAGUGCUGCUCCUCAGGGAAGCUGCUGCCACGGCCGUACUCCUGCUCAUGGCGAAUGACCUCGUAGUGAGUGAGGUGAGAGGCACCACGCAGAAAGGCAGCAAAGCUGGGAGAAGCCCCAAAGCAGCGUCAUGCCAGGCCCCGGCACACGGGGAGGAGCGUUUCAGAGCUGGGACCAAGCGGUAUCUGCCCUUUCCCCCUGGUAAACCCGGCUUCCACACACCCCCCACCUUCUGUGCCCCCCUCUCCCCAUCUGCAAGGCCAGAAGGGACAGCACAGCAACCUCAGCCUUUCAGAAGCAGAAGUGCCAGCGACCAUGUGCACAGGGCCACGAAACGUUACCUCUCUGGAGAGCGGAGGCGUCUCAUUAUAGUCUGGACAUUGACCUCCGGGCUUUUGCAGUACUUUCGAAGCUCUUUGACUGCCCUGCGUGUCUCCAACUCGCCCUGCUUUCGAUAUUCCUCCUGGGUCAGCAGGUGACGGGGGCUCGGCUCAGCCCAAACGCUCCUCCCUCUCCUGCCAGCAGAAGGGCCCCAGUCAGUGCCCGCCCAGCCGGGGCAGCGGGUCAGAGCUGGUGGCUAGAGGAGCUGAGAACGUCCCUCCGGCCUCUGCUCGUCGCUCCUGAGGGAGACUGCCAGCCCUGAACAGGAGCAGGGCACUCUCCUGCACUGUCCCAGGGACACAGCGACACAACCUCUUCCCAGACCCCACCAAAGGUGCCCCAGGUGUGUGACACAGACUCCAUCCAACAGCUCAUCCAGGCCUGAUAAUGGCUGGCAAGCAGGAGUGAGCCUGCGUGCUGACAGUCCUCACCUUUGGGCAGCAGAAGCCCAGUACAUGAUGUAAUUGAUGAUCUUGAUGCACAUUGGAAUCAGCACCACAGCCAAGGCAAUAGGAUGGAUCUGGUUGGCUGCAUAUAGCAGCGGCAGCCCCAGGAGCUGCAGGCCCCAGAUGAGAUGGAUGCUGCGCUCAUUCUCCAGUGGGCUGUACAUGUAGCUCAUGUGGAAGGUCAGCAAGCUCACAUACAGCAGGUAGCCUGUGGGAGAGCAGAAGCAUGGGGCAGGCAGCACCCAGCGGGCUCAGCUGGGCUGACAGGAGCUGCCGAGCUGCACUCUCAGGGCUGCAGGGAAUCCUGACGCCUGAUGCCACGUCCCUAUGGCCCAGCUCCCCCUUCCCAGAGCUCCCCCAGCUCAGCAGAAUCUGGGUGGGUAAAGAGAAAAGCUCUUCUUCUCUUUUCAUUGCAGUGCGUUUGUGUGGGCAGCUUUUUGUAGCAGGGGUACGGUGGUGGCUGCUGGAAGUGUCCCCUGUGCAGUUGAGGAGGUGUUUCCAUUUAAACAUAAGCAAAUCCUAUUUCCCUAUUGUGCUGAGGGAGCCCCGGCCCAGGCUGCCCAGGGAGGUUGUGGAGGCUCCUGCUCGGGUCACCUUCAAAACUCACUUGGACAUGUUCCUGUGGCCUCUGAUCGACAUGAACCUGCUUUGGCAAGGGGGGCCGGAAUAGAUCAUCUCUCAAGGUCCCUUCCAACCCUCACCGUUGUGUGAUGCUGUGAACAGCUUUGCUGCGCACCCUCAGCCAGCCAGAGCUAAAGCAGGACCCAGACCCAGCACAGCCCCGUCCCCCGCUCCCCUGCUCAGCUCCAAUCCAGCUCCUCGCUGUCGUCCCACUCACUUUCGCUCCACUGCGGCAUCUCUGACAGCAGCAAGAUCAGAGCCCCGAGGAUCAGCACGCAAACCUCAGUCGGUUCCAUGUUUCCCCCUGCAGCAGCGCCGGGCAGCUCCGCGUCUGCCACUCGCUGAGCAAGUGCCACUGGUGCAGGCGGCAGCACUGAGUGUGGCGCCGGGCUCUGUGAUGUCACAGCUGCCGAUUCUCUGGUGGGGCCCAUGCUGGGGGGUGAAGAGCAACCCCCUGAGGGGCCCCAGACGCAAGGGCAGGGGCCUGCAGCUGGGGAGGAACAAGCCCAGCACCAGCCCAGGCUGGGGGUGACCUGCUGGAGAGCAGCUGUGGGACAGGGACCCAGCAAGUGCUGGUGGGCGGCAAAUAAAGAUGAGCCAGACGCGUGGUUGAGCCCAAAGAGUCAUGGUCAACAGAGUCCAAUCCAAUUGGUGUCACAAGUGCUGUCCCCGGGGCUCAGGACGGGGGGCACUCCUCUUGAACACCUUUGUUAGUGAUCUGGAUGAGGGAAUCGGUGGCCUCACCGACUUGUCGUGUGGGACUCCACACAGCAACUUCCCACUUACGGUGAUUUCCUACCCCGCGGCAGGAUCCAUCAGUAAAACAACCGUAAUGAGCAUCUGUGGAGGAAUGGUUAAGGGAGCAUGGACAUGGAUCCCGGGGUAUAAUGUUAGGCCUGAUGGGGCAAGGCAAUCUUGCUGCCCGUUCCCGAAGGAAAACACAAAACAACCGAGGUCGUUUCAUGCGGUGCUUUAUUGAGGGCCCUAGGGACCUGAGGACUACUGUCCAAAGUCAGAGCCCCCCUUAACAGAGAUUUUCACAGGGUUUAUAUACUUUUCAGAAGAUGAUUGCUUCAUCGUACCUACGUGCUGUUUGCUAGUUUUCUUAGGGUUUAUUAUUACAUUGUACACUUUCAUGUAAUUUCUUUUAACUAUAAAUCUUACAUUUUGUCUA